UGGUUGCGUUGACGCUGUAUGUGCAGU
Molecule: non-coding RNA, 27 nt
Filed under: Bombyx mori (domestic silkworm)
Lineage: Eukaryota; Metazoa; Arthropoda; Insecta; Lepidoptera; Bombycidae
Source: RNAcentral